UGUAACAUAGCUGAGUGUACC
This 21-nucleotide non-coding RNA is filed under the name Mus musculus (house mouse). The record is from RNAcentral. Lineage: Eukaryota; Metazoa; Chordata; Mammalia; Rodentia; Muridae.